Lindgomyces ingoldianus is the source of this 98-nucleotide non-coding RNA. The record is from the annotation of a RefSeq genome assembly. NCBI's taxonomy places the organism in Eukaryota, Fungi, Ascomycota, Dothideomycetes, Pleosporales, Lindgomycetaceae.
GACAACGUGCCAGAGUGGUUAAUGGGUAUGACUCGAAUGCCAAGGCUACUAGAUAUCAUAUGGCUUCGGCCGCACAGGUUCGAAUCCUGUCGUUGUCG